This 221-nucleotide long non-coding RNA is filed under the name Lathyrus oleraceus (garden pea). Its description in RNAcentral is "Pisum sativum (pea) long non-coding RNA (PSAT_LNC008045)". Lineage: Eukaryota; Viridiplantae; Streptophyta; Magnoliopsida; Fabales; Fabaceae. The record is from RNAcentral.
AGGGAGUGAGCAAUGUUAGAGAGGCAGAGUUCUUUUUGAAUUUUUGUUUUCCUGUUAAAAGUGGUAUGUGAUUUUUAUGAGAAAGUAAGAAAGAGAUGAAUAAGGAUAGUAAAACAAAAAGAAGAGAGAAAUUGUGAUUCAUGUAUAUUUUUUUAAUGUUUUUUUAUUCUCUCCAUGUAUCCUUACUCCAAUGUUUUUUUAUCCUCUCCACGUAUCCUUAC